This 2145-nucleotide long non-coding RNA is filed under the name Triticum aestivum (bread wheat). Its description in RNAcentral is "long non-coding RNA (TAES_LNC026488)". Lineage: Eukaryota; Viridiplantae; Streptophyta; Magnoliopsida; Poales; Poaceae. The record is from RNAcentral.
AAGUUGCUUGUUCAUGGAAAAACAAAAAAUAAGCAACAAUCAAAAGACGGGAGUUUCAGGAAACAAGUCCGGCCGGCAUGUUUCUAUUAAGACAACUGAACUCGGAUACAGGUGUCGGUAGGCUGAAAAGCUUGAUUAUUCCAACAUUAAAUAUAAGCAUGAUCGGGAUACAAUAGCUUAUAGUCAUGGUUACUCAGUCAUGACUGUCCUAGUUUGGAAAACGAUUAUGCUUGGCAUACUAUGCACUAUAAUAAGGACCCACGGCGACGAGCGUCGAGAAGCCCUCCGACGAUCAACGCCGGACGGAGGUAGAAGACGAUGAACAAAUCACAACUCCCUCAAACACAUAUACAUAGAGGUACACACGCACACACGCAGCACAACCUCGGAAUAACUCUCACAUCGACCGGGCGCGUACUACAGUCCCGACGAAGACUACAUCUUCUUUGGGCCCCUCCCCCUCGGCUCGGCACACACUGUCACCGUAGCGCGGCAACAAACGGGGGCACUUUACAUCAAUACACGGGAUGGGCUUUUAUAGCCAAGCUACACACCAGCACCCGCACUCACAUGACCCAGCCACCACACCGGCCACUAACCCAUGCAUGCACCAUCACACCUGGCCACUAACUCAAUUAACUUGGCCGGCACUCACGCACUAGCUAACAACCUUAUCUAGCUGAUCUGAUUCAUGCACUAACUAACCCCACGCAAGUCACGCGCACACCACGUAGCUAGCUCCAACAGAUCGCAACAGCCUCUGUGCAUGCAACUCCUUCACGUCAGGAACGCGAGCAUGGACUCACGCCGGCACACACCCCGUGCCCAUCAUGGACUAAAACUGUCGCGUCGACGCCGGUCACCACCGGACGGGCACAAGCAUGGCUUAUUGCCAACCCUCACCCCCUAAGCCAUGACCUUGCCGCCGUCGUCGUCUUGUACUCGUUGCGGCGGCCCCUUGCACGCGACGACCUGUGCCGCACCGCCCGGUCUCCGCACCAUGGCCACCGCGCUACACUCGUUGUCGACGUCGUUCCCCGGAUGCCGCACCACAGCCGCAACAGCAUCCACGCCGCCGUGAAGCGCCGCUGCGCCACCACGCAGCGCCUCGGCGGCCUCCGCGGUUGCCGCACGUACGACAUCACCACCCGCCACCUCCACCACGCGCCAUGACAGCCGCAGCGCCGGCCACCUCCAUACGCCGACACACGGCCCGGAGCUUUACCGCGCAGCCGCCAACGAACACCGCCACCGCCGGCAUGCCUCCGGCAAGGUGACGACACCGAAGAUGAACCAGCUCAUGAUACCAAAUGUUGGAACAAACCCACGGCGACGAGCGCCGAGAAGCCCUCCGACGAUCAACGCCGGACGGAGGUAGAAGACGAUGAACAAAUCACACUUCCGGCGAUGAACGCCCCGGCCGAAGAACGGUCUGUAUGUUGGCAUCUAUUCAUCUCAACUCCCUCAAACACAUAUACAUGGAGGUACACACGCACACACGCAGCACAACCCCGGAAGAACUCUCACAUCGACCGGGCGCAUACCACAGUUCCGACGGAGACUACAUCUUCCUUGGGCCCCUCCCCCUCGGCUCGGCACACACCGUCACCGUGGCGUGGCAACAAACCGGCGCACUUUACAUCAAUACACCGGAUGGGCUUUUAUAGCCAAGCUACACACCAGCACCCGCACUCACAUGACCGAGCCACCACACCGGCCACUAACCCAUGCAUGCACCAUCACACCCGGCCACUAACUCAAUUAACUUGGCCGGCACUCACGCACUAGCUAAAAACCUUAUCCAGCUGAUCUGAUUCAUGCACUAACUAACCCCACGCGAGUCACGCGCACACCACGUAGCGAGCUCCAACAGAUCGCAACAGCCUCUGUGCAUGCAACUCCUUCACGUCAGGAACGCGAGCAUGGACUCACGCCGGCACACACCCCGUGCCCAUCAUGGACCAGAACUGUCGCAUCGACGCCGGUCACCACCGGACGGGCACAAGCAUGGCUUAUUGCCAACAGCCUGCAAGGAUAAGAUUGAUUCUAUGAGAUUAUCACUUUAGAUGUUAGAGAAUAGAAAAAACAGUGUAAAUAAUAUAGUAGUAGUGAACUCGAUUAAGUUAAGCAACAAAUCUAAACAAG